This 276-nucleotide ribosomal RNA is filed under the name uncultured bacterium. Its description in RNAcentral is "partial 16S ribosomal RNA". It matches the Rfam family "Bacterial small subunit ribosomal RNA", at positions 79 to 353 of the family's 1533-position model. The record is from RNAcentral.
CUAAGUUUGAUGGCGACCGGCGCACGGGUGAGUAACACGUAUCCAACCUGCCGAUGACUCGGGGAUAGCCUUUCGAAAGAAAGAUUAAUACCCGAUGGCAUAGUUCUUCCGCAUGGUGGAACUAUUAAAGAAUUUCGGUCAUCGAUGGGGAUGCGUUCCAUUAGGUUGUUGGCGGGGUAACGGCCCACCAAGCCUUCGAUGGAUAGGGGUUCUGAGAGGAAGGUCCCCCACAUUGGAACUGAGACACGGUCCAAACUCCUACGGGAGGCAGCAUGC